CGGCGGACGGGUGAGUAACACAUAUCCAACCUGCCCAUAACUCUGGAAUAUCCUUUCUAAAGAAAGAUUACUCCCGGAUAGUAUACGAAUAUCGCAUGAUAUUUUUAUUAAAGAAUUUCGGUUAUCGAUGGGGAUGCGUUCCCUUAGUUUGUUCGCCGCGUUACGGCCCACCCAGACUACGAUGGAUAGGGCUUCUGAGAGGAAGGUCCCCCACAUUGGAACUGACACCCGGUCCCCACUCCUACGGGAGGCAGCACUGAUGAAUAUUGGUCAAUGGGCGCGAGCCUGAACCAGUCUAGUAGCGUGAAGGAUGAAAGCUCUAUGGGUCGUAAACUUCUUUUAUAUGGGCAAUACAAGAUUCCACGUGUGGAAUUUUGUAUGUACCACAUGAAUUCGGAUCGGCUAACUCCGAGCCAGGAGCCCGCGGUAAUACCGGAGGAUCCGAGCGUUUUUCCGGAUUUAUUGGGUUUAAAGGGGAGGGUUAGGUGGAUUGUAAAGUCAGUUGUGAAAAGUUGGCGGCUCAACCGUAAAAAUUGCCUGUUGAAACUGGCAGUCUUGGAGUACAGUAGAGGUGGGCGGGAAUUCGUGGUGUAGCGGGUGAAAAUGCUUAGAUAUCACGAAGAACUCCGAUUGCGAAGGCAGCUCACUAGACUGUCACUGACACUGAUGCUUGAAAAGUGUGGGUAUCAAACAGGAUUAGAUACCCUGGUAGUCCACACAGUAAACGAUGAAUACUCGCUGUUUGCGAUAUACAGUAAGCGGCCAAGCGAAAGCAUUAAGUAUUCCACCUGGGGAGUACGCCGGCAACGGUGAAACUCAAAGGAAUUGACGGGGGCCCGCACAAGCGGAGGAACAUGUGGUUUAAUUCGAUGAUACGCGAGGAACCUUACCCGGGCUUAAAUUGCAUUUGAAUAUGUAGGAAACUAUAUAGCCGCAAGGCAAAUGUGAAGGUGCUGCAUGGUUGUCGUCAGCUCGUGCCGUGAGGUGUCGGCUUAAGUGCCAUAACGAGCGCAACCCUUAUCUUCAGUUACUAACAGGUCAUGGUGAGGACUCUGGAGAGACUGCCGUCGUAAGAUGUGAGGAAGGUGGGGAUGACGUCAAAUCAGCACGGCCCUUACGUCCGGGGCUACACACGUGUUACAAUGGGGGGUACAGAAGGCAGCUACCUGGUGACAGGAUGCUAAUCCCAAAAACCUCUCUCAGUUCGGAUCGAAGUCUGCAACCCGACUUCGUGAAGCUGGAUUCGCUAGUAAUCGCGCAUCAGCCAUGGCGCGGUGAAUACGUUCCCGGGCCUUGUACACACCGCCCGUCAAGCCAUGAAAGCCGGGGGUACCUGAAGUACGUAACCGCAAGGAGCGUCCUAGGGUAAAACUGGU
This 1376-nucleotide ribosomal RNA is filed under the name uncultured organism. RNAcentral describes it as "16S ribosomal RNA". It matches the Rfam family "Bacterial small subunit ribosomal RNA", at positions 96 to 1472 of the family's 1533-position model. The record is from RNAcentral.